Molecule: ribosomal RNA, 801 nt
Filed under: uncultured bacterium
Lineage: Bacteria
Description: bacterial SSU rRNA
Rfam family: Bacterial small subunit ribosomal RNA
Source: RNAcentral
ACGGUAACAGGGAGCUUGCUCCGCUGACGAGUGGCGAACGGGUGAGUAAUAUAUCGGAACGUGCCCAGUCGUGGGGGAUAACGCAGCGAAAGCUGUGCUAAUACCGCAUACGAUCUACGGAUGAAAGCGGGGGAUCGCAAGACCUCGCGCGAUUGGAGCGGCCGAUAUCAGAUUAGCUAGUUGGUGAGGUAAAGGCUCACCAAGGCGACGAUCUGUAGCUGGUCUGAGAGGACGACCAGCCACACUGGAACUGAGACACGGUCCAGACUCCUACGGGAGGCAGCAGUGGGGAAUUUUGGACAAUGGGCGCAAGCCUGAUCCAGCAAUGCCGCGUGCAGGAUGAAGGCCUUCGGGUUGUAAACUGCUUUUGUACGGAACGAAACGGUGAGCUCUAAUACAGUUUGCUAAUGACGGUACCGUAAGAAUAAGCACCGGCUAACUACGUGCCAGCAGCCGCGGUAAUACGUAGGGUGCGAGCGUUAAUCGGAAUUACUGGGCGUAAAGCGUGCGCAGGCGGUUAUGUAAGACAGAUGUGAAAUCCCCGGGCUCAACCUGGGACCUGCAUUUGUGACUGCAUAGCUAGAGUACGGUAGAGGGGGAUGGAAUUCCGCGUGUAGCAGUGAAAUGCGUAGAUAUGCGGAGGAACACCGAUGGCGAAGGCAAUCCCCUGGACCUGUACUGACGCUCAUGCACGAAAGCGUGGGGAGCAAACAGGAUUAGAUACCCUGGUAGUCCACGCCCUAAACGAUGUCAACUGGUUGUUGGGUCUUCACUGACUCAGUAACGAAGCUAACGCGUGAA